AAAUGAAUUGACGGGGGCCCGCACAAGCAGUGGAGUAUGUGGAUUAAUUCGACGCAACGCGAAGAACCUUACCAGGUCUUGACAUCUUGAGAAUCCUUUAGAGAUAGAGGAGUGCCCUUCGGGGAAUUCAAAGACAGGUGGUGCAUGGUUGUCGUCAGCUCGUGUCGUGAGAUGUUGGGUUAAGUCCCGCAACGAGCGCAACCCUUAUGUUUAGUUGCUACGCAAGAGCACUCUAGACAGACUGCCGUUGACAAAACGGAGGAAGGUGGGGAUGACGUCAAAUCAUCAUGCCCCUUAUGACCUGGGCCUCACACGUACUACAAUGGCUAUUAACAGAGUGAAGCAAUACGGUGACGUGGAGCAAAACACUAAAAAUAGUCUUAGUUCGGAUUGUAGGCUGAAACUCGCCUACAUGAAGUCGGAAUUGCUAGUAAUCGCAGAUCAGCAUGCUGCGGUGAAUACGUUCCCGGGCCUUGCACACACCGCCCGU
RNAcentral lists this ribosomal RNA (490 nucleotides) under uncultured bacterium. RNAcentral describes it as "bacterial SSU rRNA". It matches the Rfam family "Bacterial small subunit ribosomal RNA", at positions 903 to 1397 of the family's 1533-position model. The record is from RNAcentral.